RNAcentral lists this ribosomal RNA (456 nucleotides) under uncultured Hyphomicrobiaceae bacterium. RNAcentral's name for it is "bacterial SSU rRNA". It matches the Rfam family "Bacterial small subunit ribosomal RNA", at positions 926 to 1382 of the family's 1533-position model. Lineage: Bacteria; Pseudomonadati; Pseudomonadota; Alphaproteobacteria; Hyphomicrobiales; Hyphomicrobiaceae. The record is from RNAcentral.
CAAGCGGUGGAGCAUGUGGUUUAAUUCGACGCAACGCGCAGAACCUUACCAGCCCUUGACAUGCCUCGGAAGUGGACGAGAGAUCGACCACGCUCUUCGGAGCCGGGGACACAGGUGCUGCAUGGCUGUCGUCAGCUCGUGUCGUGAGAUGUUGGGUUAAGUCCCGCAACGAGCGCAACCCUCGCCUUCAGUUGCCAUCAUUUAGUUGGGCACUCUGGAGGGACUGCCGGUGACAAGCCGGAGGAAGGUGGGGAUGACGUCAAGUCCUCAUGGCCCUUACGGGCUGGGCUACACACGUGCUACAAUGGUGGUGACAGUGGGCUGCGAUGGGGUGACCCUGAGCAAAUCCCAAAAAGCCAUCUCAGUUCGGAUUGCACUCUGCAACUCGGGUGCAUGAAGUUGGAAUCGCUAGUAAUCGCGCAACAGCAUGGCGCGGUGAAUACGUUCCCGGGCCUU